CAUAACAUUUGGAGAAAUAAAAGGCAAGCUUUUUAUCUCCUUUUCUCUAAAGCUUCUUAUGCUCAUAAUUGUACCAUAAGAGAAUACCAUGUCAUUACUUACAAGCUGUUAGAGUCACCACAGGUGACAACCAAACAUAUGUUAUAGUCUGUGCUAAGUAACUAAGAAGCCUGCAUUGCCUUUUGAUUUUGAUUUUGAUUUUAAUGUGAAAAAAUGGGCUCACUGCCUUCACUCUUUGUUCUUACCCCUUGCAUUGGGUGAAUAAUUGGGACAUCAGAUGCUUGAAG
Molecule: unclassified non-coding RNA, 287 nt
Filed under: Hevea brasiliensis (rubber tree)
Lineage: Eukaryota; Viridiplantae; Streptophyta; Magnoliopsida; Malpighiales; Euphorbiaceae
Source: RNAcentral